This 1540-nucleotide unclassified non-coding RNA is filed under the name uncultured fungus. RNAcentral describes it as "sequence contains 18S rRNA gene, ITS1, 5.8S rRNA gene, ITS2, 28S rRNA gene". The stretch from base 628 to 1540 matches the Rfam family "Eukaryotic large subunit ribosomal RNA", at positions 1 to 961 of the family's 3401-position model. The record is from RNAcentral. Lineage: Eukaryota; Fungi.
GGUUGGAUCAUUAACAAUGAUUGCUUUUGAAUAGAGUUCCCAUUUAAGGUUACCGCUAAUGGUUGAGCUCUAUUCAUUAGCACAAACACCUGUGCACUGUAAUGUUUUUUGGUAGUAAUGAGUCGACUUGCAAAGGUUGAAUCAGAGCUACCAGCCAUAUCAACCCAUGUUAAUAUUUAGCUGAAUAUAAUAUUAAAAUUAUAAACAACUUUUGACAACGGAUCUCUUGGCUCUCGCAACGAUGAAGAACGCAGCGAAAUGCGAUACGUAAUGUGAAUUGCAGAAUUCCGUGAAUCAUCGAAUCUUUGAACGCACAUUGCACUCUAUUUCGGUAGAGUAUGCCUGUUUGAGAAUCUAAAGUAUCUAUUCACUGUUUAUUUCCUUUGGGAAGUAAACAGCGAGAUAUGAACCUUCCGAUGCCGUACACGGUGGUUCGAAAUCUAUAGCUGGUUUGGCUUUUCAGGUGCUUGACCUGGUACAAAGUCGACUGAAAAGUAUUUGAAUAGAGUGUCUUUACAGACUAUCUCUUCCUAUUGCUUAUUAAGCGACAGUGCUAGUUAGCUUGACUAACCAAGUCGGUCCAAAAACUAAAAGGGCUUGUACUUUCGAGUGCAGGUCCUUGAACCAUGGUCUCAAAUCAGGUAGGAUUACCCGCUGAACUUAAGCAUAUCAAUAAGCGGAGGAAAAGAAACUAACAAGGAUUCCCCUAGUAACGGCGAGUGAAGCGGGAAUAGCUCAAAUUUGAAAUCUCACUUCGGUGCGAAUUGUAGUUUAGAGAAACGUUUUCGGUGCAAGUCCACGGUACAAGUUCUUUGGAACAAGGCAUCACAGAGGGUGAAAAUCCCGUCUUUGACCGUGGCUCUUGCUCCAUAUGAUACGUUUUCCAAGAGUCGGUUUGUUUGGGAAUGCAGACCAAAAUGGGUGGUAAAUACCAUCUAAAGCUAAAUAUUGGCGAGAGACCGAUAGCGAACAAGUACCGUGAGGGAAAGAUGAAAAGAACUUUGAAAAGAGAGUUAAACAGUACGUGAAAUUGUCAAAAGGGAAACGCUUGAAACCAGUAUUGCUUCGCAAGUCAACAUCAGUUUGACUCGGACCAAAAAGCUUUAGGAACGUAGCCUCUCGGGGUGUUAUAGCCUAUAGUCAUGCUCUGGGUUGGACUGAGGACUGCAGUGUUAUUUGGGGCUUUGCCCACACCAACACUUUGGAUGUUGACGAAAUGGUUUUAAACGACCCGUCUUGAAACACGGACCAAGGAGUCUAACAUAUAUGCGAGUAUUUGGGUGGUAAACCCUUUUGCGUAAUGAAAGUGAAAAGGUGGGAUUCUUUAUUGAUGCACCAUCGACCGCGCCAGAUUAUUACUAUCUCGGCGUGAGUAUGAGCAUACAUGCUGGGACCCGAAAGAUGGUGAACUAUGCCUGAAUAGGGUGAAGCCAGAGGAAACUCUGGUGGAGGCUCGUAGCGGUUCUGACGUGCAAAUCGAUCGUCAAAUUUGGGUAUAGGGGCGAAAGACUAAUCGAACCAUCUAGUAGCUGGUUCCCUC